GUCCCUGUAGCGCAAUGGAUAGCGCGUUGGACUUCUAAUCCAAAGGUCGUGGGUUCGAAUCCCAACUGGGAUG
Molecule: transfer RNA, 73 nt
Filed under: Trichonephila clavata
Lineage: Eukaryota; Metazoa; Arthropoda; Arachnida; Araneae; Nephilidae
Rfam family: tRNA
About the family: Transfer RNA (tRNA) molecules are approximately 80 nucleotides in length. Their secondary structure includes four short double-helical elements and three loops (D, anti-codon, and T loops). Further hydrogen bonds mediate the characteristic L-shaped molecular structure. tRNAs have two regions of fundamental functional importance: the anti-codon, which is responsible for specific mRNA codon recognition, and the 3' end, to which the tRNAs corresponding amino acid is attached (by aminoacyl-tRNA synthetases). tRNAs cope with the degeneracy of the genetic code in two manners: having more than one tRNA (with a specific anti-codon) for a particular amino acid; and 'wobble' base-pairing, i.e. permitting non-standard base-pairing at the 3rd anti-codon position.
Source: Rfam by way of RNAcentral